AAACUAAAAAAUAAAAAAAAAAGGUCUGUGCAAUCAAUUAAAAUAUGAAAUGUGAAUAUUGCCCUAUCAUGGUGAAGAUGGAACUACAGCCAAGAAAUAACCGACAUUUCAGCCAAAUUGAUCUAAUAUAUUCAGGCAUCAUUAUCACUGGUUUUAAAAUACCAAAAAAGAAACAGGCUUUCAUUUCACUUGAUUUACCAAGAGAAGUCAUAAUAGAAUGAACACAUGCUAACCUGCAAUAGUCGCUUUGAGAAUGCAGAAACACGCUUCAAAUUUACAUCAUUUUUCAU
This 290-nucleotide unclassified non-coding RNA is filed under the name Hevea brasiliensis (rubber tree). Lineage: Eukaryota; Viridiplantae; Streptophyta; Magnoliopsida; Malpighiales; Euphorbiaceae. The record is from RNAcentral.